RNAcentral lists this ribosomal RNA (493 nucleotides) under Enterobacter cloacae subsp. cloacae. RNAcentral's name for it is "bacterial LSU rRNA". It matches the Rfam family "Bacterial large subunit ribosomal RNA", at positions 2450 to 2925 of the family's 2925-position model. The record is from RNAcentral. Lineage: Bacteria; Pseudomonadati; Pseudomonadota; Gammaproteobacteria; Enterobacterales; Enterobacteriaceae.
CAACGGAUAAAAGGUACUCAGGGGAUAACAGGCUGAUAAAGACAAAGAGUUCAUAUCGACGGAGGUGUUUGGCACAUAGAUGUCGGAAAAUCACAUACUGGGGCUGAAGUAGGUCCCAAGGGUAUGGCUGUUCGCCAUUUAAAGUGGUACGCGAGCUGGGUUUAGAACGUCGUGAGACAGUUCGGUCCCUAUCUGCCGUGGGCGCUGGAGAAUUGAGGGGGGCUGCUCCUAGUACGAGAGGACCGGAGUGGACGCAUCACUGGUGUUCGGGUUGUCAUGCCAAUGGCACUGCCCGGUAGCUAAAUGCGGAAGAGAUAAGUGCUGAAAGCAUCUAAGCACGAAACUUGCCCCGAGAUGAGUUCUCCCUGAGACUUUAAGUCUCCUGAAGGAACGUUGAAGACGACGACGUUGAUAGGUCGGGUGUGUAAGCGCAGCGAUGCGUUGAGCUAACCGAUACUAAUGAACCGUGAGGCUUAACCUUACAACGCCGAAG